Molecule: transfer RNA, 72 nt
Filed under: Phrynosoma platyrhinos (Desert horned lizard)
Lineage: Eukaryota; Metazoa; Chordata; Lepidosauria; Squamata; Phrynosomatidae
Description: tRNA-OTHER
Source: RNAcentral
GCCAGUGUGGUGUAGUGGUUUGAGCACUGGAUUACAACUUUGGAGACCAGGAUUCGAAUCCCAGCUUAGUCA